This 107-nucleotide small nucleolar RNA is filed under the name Gossypium hirsutum (cotton). RNAcentral's name for it is "Plant small nucleolar RNA R71". It matches the Rfam family "Plant small nucleolar RNA R71". From Rfam's summary of the family: R71 is a member of the C/D box family of snoRNAs containing the C (UGAUGA) and D (CUGA) box motifs. Multiple nearly identical copies of this snoRNA have been identified in Arabidopsis, and it is thought to function as a 2'-O-ribose methylation guide for 18S ribosomal RNA. The record is from Rfam by way of RNAcentral. Lineage: Eukaryota; Viridiplantae; Streptophyta; Magnoliopsida; Malvales; Malvaceae.
AAUCCAUGCAUAGGACAUUUCCAAAGAAAAUCUUUGAACCUUUCCCAUGUUUCAUAUCAUGUUUCAUCCUCUAGUUGCUUGAAGGUUGUUCUCUCAUUUCUCAAUUU